RNAcentral lists this long non-coding RNA (254 nucleotides) under Mytilus galloprovincialis (Mediterranean mussel). Lineage: Eukaryota; Metazoa; Mollusca; Bivalvia; Mytilida; Mytilidae. The record is from RNAcentral.
CUGUGGAUAUUUGAUAGAAAGUUGGUCGAUAGAAAAUUGAUACUUUGAACAUUUAAGUUUGUGGUUCAUAAUUACUAAAGAAAUCCAGUGGAUAUUUAGUUUGAAUCUUGAUAAAUAGAAAAAAGUCAAAACAAUUUCUGUUUCAAAGUUUGACAGUAUCUUUACUAUCUUGGACAAUUAUGUACCCCUUUCCUCUGGUGCUGAAUAUCUCAAUAUAAUUCAAUCUUUAUGAUACCUGAAUCAUUAUUAAAUUG